GGCGGGGGUCAGGCUGGGGCUUAGAUUUUGCACCGGUGGGCACGGCCCCGAGUUCCCCGAUUGCAAGCAGCGUUUGAACGACGCUCGCAGACGUGGAAUUUGGGUUUUGGGUGCAGAGCCGGGAGUUGGACUCGACGGUCUGUGUGACCCAACGAGGGAUGAGCCGUGACCCCGUGGCCGUGCGGCCCUCGCUGUGUGAAGCAGCGAAACGAGCCACGUGAACGCGCGCCGCCCAGCCCUCACCUACCGCCGUCCGCCCCACGCGCUGUGCUGCAGCGCACGAUACGAUAUCCGCUGUGCCCCGUGCAGCAGCACACAGACACACGGCCCGCUGCAGCCACAGCCCCGUACCUUGCAUGCAGCAAAGCGACAGCACAGCUUGCCCUGCGUCCCGCCUUCCCUGCUCCGUGUGGAGCCGGGCAGGGCCUCGUGCCGUGUGUGCUACUGGAUCUGCGUGCCCUCUCCCUGACACGGGGCAGCCCAGCACCGCUGCGGUCGCAGCAGAUCAAACUGCCCACAGAAAUCCGUACAACUGAAAGUCACCGCAAACCAACGAGAAAUCGGUAUAAAAAUACCUCAAAACCACAGUGUGACAUCACACAGCACACGGGGACCGCCGCUGCAGCAUGAAUGAAUGCCCCCACCAAGCUCGGAUGUGCGCUCAGAAAGGCAGGCCGUGUUCUGUUCCGUGUAACAACCACACACCAGUGCUAGAACCAUAUAGAAACAUUUGAGUUGGAAUGAGCUCUGAAAUACCAUCUGGUCCAAACCUGUGCAACAAGCAGAGAUGCCUACAGCUCCAUCAGGUGCUCAGAGCCCCAUCCAGCCUGACCGUGAGUGUCUCCAGGGACAGGGCAUCCACCACGUCUCUGAGCAACCCGUGCCCUUAUUGUAAAAGACUUUUUCUUCAUAACCGGUAAUAUCCAGAGGGAUGCUGUGCAGCAGGCAGGCUGGGCUGGCCACACUGCAUGCUGAGUGGGACGUGGUUGGACAGAGCCACACAAACCCCAGCAAGCAGAAGGUUUGUGCUGGUCUUGCCAGACCAGCGCGGGCUGAGUCUGGGGCUGCUGCAGUGACCCCAGGAACAGUUCCUCCUCUGCUUAUCAAAUCCCGGCAUGCCUCUGUCAGCCUACGGGAUUUCUGGCUUUCAUCCAAAUUGGUCCUGCAGAAACCAGAAAAUCAGCAGCCAUCAGAGCUCGGUGCCGUGGCAGGGCGUACCACGCGUGCCGGCCUGGGGGCACGGUGCAUCAGGACGACGAUGUCUCCCCAGGGCUCACGCUGGCUGACAGCGCUUGGCAGGCAGCCUGGCUGCAAGGGCUUCAUGCAUAAAUACAUAUACAUGGCCAUGAGAUACGCUCCUGACAUUCACAUAUCAGUUUCGCAAGAGGGGAUGAUCGGAUUUAACAGCUCACUGUCACUGCUGUUGUUCUUCCUCCCUUCCCGUUGCCCUUUCCCACCCACUGCUCCUUGGAUAUUUCCAUGAGCCUCUUUGGCAUACCAUGCUGUGCCAGAGCCAUGGCCGGUGCUGGCCAACCCCAUGCACAAGCAUAAGGCUCCCCCACCAUGCUGCCUGGCACUGGGGCAGUGCCCUCGGGGCAUCCCAGCCCAGCUGCUGCAGCUGCCAUGUCAAUACCAGGCCAGCCGGCACGCUGCAUGUAAGGCUUCCAAUUCAAAGUCAUCUAGGCUGAAUGGCCCUUGCAGUUUCUCUGUUACUGCUGGAAAUGGCAAUAGGGAUCAUUGGUACUUAGUUUUUAUAUCUUUGAGAUCUUAUCUGAAGAGCCCCAGUCUGCCAGUACCAGUAACAUUUCUCAAGCAUAGUGGCAGCAGACAUGGGCUAGCUGAGCAACCUGCCUAAGAGCACAGAGGAGAUGUUCCCAGUUUUGCUGCUAACAUGACAACACAAGCUCUGACCUUUUAUUUCUGGCUCUCAGCAGCGCCUCUCUCCCACACUGUCGCCAACAGGCGUGUUGCUGAUUGACGUCAGUGGACGUGGCUCCCAGAGGAGAAGCUCCUGCAGAGCUCCUGGUUGGCCUCUUUUCCACCAUUAAUAAACCAUGGUAGAAGGACGGAGCGACCCUUGAGCGCCUUUACACUCCAAACCUGCCACAAAGGUAUUACUGCAGGCACCGCCUUUUGUUCCUGGUCCCCAGCUGGUUUGGGCUUGGAGAUAAAGUUGAACCAGAUGAAAAGAUAAAACACUGCCAUUGAAAUCCGCCCCAUAACCUCUGGAGAUCUGAUUUGUGAUUCUUCAAACUUUUCUUCUGUUAACACAGUUGAAUACAUUUGUUUGCUCCUUCCUGCAUGUUGUUACCAGCAAAACCUCCAAUUACUAAAGGCAAAAAAGGUCAUAAUUCCUGCUGUUUGUAUUUUGCAUUUCUCCUAGCCUGGAUAAUGAAAAUCAAUAAAACCACUUUCCCUGCCAAGUCUCAGUGGUACAAUGUUGGUGAAUAAAGGGAGAGCAAACUAACAGCGUUCUUGAGAACUGCGGUAGAAUUUAAAAAAAUACAAUUAAAAAGAUCUAUUUGCAAGCUACUUAAAGGCACAUUCUUCCAAAGUUUAAUCUGAACCUCAUUUAAAGUUGAAAUAAUAAAUAAAGGAAUUGUGAUAUAGACUUGCAAAGUAAGAU
RNAcentral lists this long non-coding RNA (2626 nucleotides) under Gallus gallus (chicken). Its description in RNAcentral is "lncRNA (ENSGALG00010026309.1)". Lineage: Eukaryota; Metazoa; Chordata; Aves; Galliformes; Phasianidae. The record is from RNAcentral.